CUGGUGCCACUCAGGCAGUCAGAUGAGCUGGUGCCACUCAGGCAGUUAGAUGUACUGGUGCCACUCAGAUGUACUGGUGCCACUCAGGCAGUUAGAUGGGCUGGUGCCACUCAGACAGUCAGAUGAGCUGGUGCCACUCAGGCAGUUAGAUGUACUGGUGCCACUCAGAUGUACUGGUGCCACUCAGGCAGUUAGAUGUACUGGUGCCACUCAGGCAGUUAGAUGUACUGGUGCCACUCAGACAGUUAGAUGUACUGGUGCCACUCAGGCAGUUAGAUGUACUGGUGCCACUCAGACAGUUAGAUGUACUGGUGCCACUCAGGCAGUUAGAUGUACUGGUGCCACUCAGACAGUCAGAUGUACUGGUGCCACUCAGGCAGUUAGAUGUGCUGGUGCCACUCAGAUGUGCUGGUGCCACUCAGGCAGUUAGAUGGGCUGGUGCCACUCAGGCAGUUAGAUGUACUGGUGCCACUCAGACAGUCAGAUGUACUGGUGCCCCUCAGGC
RNAcentral lists this long non-coding RNA (505 nucleotides) under Salmo salar (Atlantic salmon). RNAcentral's name for it is "lncRNA (ENSSSAG00000088501.1)". The record is from RNAcentral. Lineage: Eukaryota; Metazoa; Chordata; Actinopteri; Salmoniformes; Salmonidae.